RNAcentral lists this long non-coding RNA (623 nucleotides) under Gigantopelta aegis. RNAcentral's name for it is "uncharacterized LOC121386946". Lineage: Eukaryota; Metazoa; Mollusca; Gastropoda; Neomphalida; Peltospiridae. The record is from RNAcentral.
UACAACUGUUUUUAAUUGUAUUUAAGAGGUCGGUUAUAAUCAUAAACAUAUGUCUUUGUAUGCCAUUUAGCAGGGCGCAAAAGGACUGCGUAAGGAAGAUCACGUUGGCUAAUUAAAUAGCCUCGCGUCGUGACGUCACUUAACAACAGCGUCAGUUUCAAAUAAUUUCGUACAGGUAAGACGCAAUUGUUAUUUUUAAUUUCCCUCCACCUUCCCCGUGUCUUGCCACCAUUAUGAAAAUGUUAUCUUGUUAAGAACGAUUAAUAACAAUGGCUUCUAAUUUAUGUUAUAUAUUGACAUAUGUUUUUGAUUUGUUUAUAAUUAACACACGGGAUAUCUUGUACAUCAGAUGUUUAAUGUAACACAUUUUUGUUAUAUACAUUAAAUGUUUUCAUAUUGAUACGUUCAAGAACAAUUGACAUUUCUUCAUAUACUUUUAUGUAGAGUUAACAGAUGGGCGGAUUUCCCCCACCUACAACAGUGCUUUUCGCAUUUAUUAUGUAAUGUUACUAUGUCAUUUCACUUUCCUGAACACCUACUUUUGUCAGGUGUUUACUAUUACAUAAUGUGAUGUGAUGUUAUAAUUUUAUGUCGUUUUUAAUAAAACGGCCAUUUCAAUCUAA